Molecule: long non-coding RNA, 325 nt
Organism: Solea senegalensis (Senegalese sole)
Lineage: Eukaryota; Metazoa; Chordata; Actinopteri; Pleuronectiformes; Soleidae
Exons: 3
Source: RefSeq, a predicted model, not a curated record
GAGCAGAGCACAGCAGAAGCCCUCCGAGCAUUUGUGAUGCAAAGGAAAACAACAUCCAGGUAACCUCAACCCAAGUUUACCAAGUUUAAGCAGCGCCACCGCAAGGAGACAUAAGAAUGACGCUAUCACAGCCUUGAUCUUGAUGACAUGAUGACAUUAACCAGAUCAGAGAACUUUUCCGACAUGCUUGGGAAAGGAACGGGUGAGAGUAAGAUUGGACCUUUAACACAUCAUAAAAAGUAGUUCUGCAAUACACAGCCAUAUUUUCUUUACUUGGGUGGUGGCUGACCUUUGACUAUAAAUGGCAUCACAGUCAUCUACAGUC